This 498-nucleotide ribosomal RNA is filed under the name uncultured bacterium. RNAcentral's name for it is "partial 16S ribosomal RNA". It matches the Rfam family "Bacterial small subunit ribosomal RNA", at positions 29 to 507 of the family's 1533-position model. The record is from RNAcentral.
AGCGAACGCUGGCGGCGUGCCUAACACAUGCAAGUCGAACGUGAAAAGGGAAACCUGAGUAAAGUGGCGUACGGGUGAGUAACGCGUAGGUAAUCUACCCCAGAAUCUGGAAUAACCUGCCGAAAGGCGGGCUAAUACUGGAUAGAGCGAGGGAACUCGUAAGAGAGUUUUUCGGGAAAGGGAGCCCGCAAGGGCCUUCGUUCUGGGAUGAGCCUGCGUCUCAUUAGCUAGUUGGUAAGGUAACGGCUUACCAAGGCGAUGAUGAGUAGCUGGUCUGAGAGGCUGAUCAGCCACACUGGAACUGCAACACGGUCCAGACUCCUCCGGGAGGCAGCAGUGGGGAAUCUUGCGCCAUGGACGAAAGUCUGACGCAGCCACGCCGCGUGAGUGAAGAAGGCCUUCGGGUUGUAAAGCUCUGUCGGAUGGGACGAACAUCUUCAUAGUGAAUAGCUAUGAGGACUGACGGUACCAUCAAAGGAAGCACCGGCUAACUCCGUG